GGAGGGGUGGCCGAGUGGUUUAAGGCGCCUGUCUUGAAAACAGGUACUCCUGAUCGGAGUCAUGGGUUCGAAUCCCAUCCCCUCCG
RNAcentral lists this transfer RNA (86 nucleotides) under SAR202 cluster bacterium. Its description in RNAcentral is "tRNA-Ser". It matches the Rfam family "tRNA". Rfam says of the family: Transfer RNA (tRNA) molecules are approximately 80 nucleotides in length. Their secondary structure includes four short double-helical elements and three loops (D, anti-codon, and T loops). The record is from RNAcentral. Lineage: Bacteria; Bacillati; Chloroflexota; Dehalococcoidia.